RNAcentral lists this transfer RNA (82 nucleotides) under Cellulomonadaceae bacterium. RNAcentral's name for it is "tRNA-Leu". It matches the Rfam family "tRNA". From Rfam's summary of the family: Transfer RNA (tRNA) molecules are approximately 80 nucleotides in length. Their secondary structure includes four short double-helical elements and three loops (D, anti-codon, and T loops). Lineage: Bacteria; Bacillati; Actinomycetota; Actinomycetes; Micrococcales; Cellulomonadaceae. The record is from RNAcentral.
GCCUCGGUGGCGGAAUUGGCAGACGCGCUCGACUCAAACUCGAGUACCGAGAGGUGUGAGGGUUCGAGUCCCUCCCGAGGCA